This 246-nucleotide ribosomal RNA is filed under the name uncultured bacterium. RNAcentral describes it as "partial 16S ribosomal RNA". It matches the Rfam family "Bacterial small subunit ribosomal RNA", at positions 523 to 769 of the family's 1533-position model. The record is from RNAcentral.
AUACGUAGGGGGCGAGCGUUAUCCGGAUUUAUUGGGCGUAAAGCGUGUGUAGGCGGUUUGUUAAGUUUAAGAUUAAAGCCCGGGGCUCAACUCCGGUAAGUCUUAAAAACUGGCAGGCUUGAGUACGGUAGAGGCAAACGGAAUUUCUAGUGUAGCGGUGAAAUCCGUAGAUAUUAGGAGGAACACCGGUGGCGAAGGCGGCUACCUGGACCGAUAUUGACGCUGAGACGCGAAAGCGUGGGUAGC